Molecule: non-coding RNA, 27 nt
Filed under: Bombyx mori (domestic silkworm)
Lineage: Eukaryota; Metazoa; Arthropoda; Insecta; Lepidoptera; Bombycidae
Source: RNAcentral
UGAUCUACACAUAUCCUUGACAUGCCC